AGAGUUUGAUCCUGGCUCAGAACGAACGCUGGCGGCAGGCUUAACACAUGCAAGUCGAACGCUCCGCAAGGAGAGUGGCAGACGGGUGAGUAACGCGUGGGAACAUACCCCUCGGUUCGGAAUAACUCAGGGAAACUUGAGCUAAUACCGAAUACGGUCGAGAGGCGAAAGAUUUAUCGCCGAGGGAUUGGCCCGCGUCCGAUUAGCUAGUUGGUGAGGUAAUGGCUCACCAAGGCGACGAUCGGUAGCUGGUCUGAGAGGAUGAUCAGCCACAUUGGGACUGAGACACGGCCCAAACUCCUACGGGAGGCAGCAGUGGGGAAUAUUGGACAAUGGGCGAAAGCCUGAUCCAGCCAUGCCGCGUGAGUGAUGACGGCCUUAGGGUUGUAAAGCUCUUUCAUCAGGGACG
RNAcentral lists this ribosomal RNA (409 nucleotides) under uncultured bacterium. Its description in RNAcentral is "bacterial SSU rRNA". It matches the Rfam family "Bacterial small subunit ribosomal RNA", at positions 8 to 447 of the family's 1533-position model. The record is from RNAcentral.